RNAcentral lists this ribosomal RNA (1423 nucleotides) under Enterococcus sp. RNAcentral describes it as "bacterial SSU rRNA". It matches the Rfam family "Bacterial small subunit ribosomal RNA". Lineage: Bacteria; Bacillati; Bacillota; Bacilli; Lactobacillales; Enterococcaceae. The record is from RNAcentral.
AAGUCGUACGCUUCUUUUUCCCCGGAGCUUGCUCCACCGGAAAAAGAAGAGUGGCGAACGGGUGAGUAACACGUGGGUAACCUGCCCAUCAGAAGGGGAUAACACUUGGAAACAGGUGCUAAUACCGUAUAACAAUCGAAACCGCAUGGUUUUGAUUUGAAAGGCGCUUUCGGGUGUCGCUGAUGGAUGGACCCGCGGUGCAUUAGCUAGUUGGUGAGGUAACGGCUCACCAAGGCCACGAUGCAUAGCCGACCUGAGAGGGUGAUCGGCCACAUUGGGACUGAGACACGGCCCAAACUCCUACGGGAGGCAGCAGUAGGGAAUCUUCGGCAAUGGACGAAAGUCUGACCGAGCAACGCCGCGUGAGUGAAGAAGGUUUUCGGAUCGUAAAACUCUGUUGUUAGAGAAGAACAAGGAUGAGAGUAACUGUUCAUCCCUUGACGGUAUCUAACCAGAAAGCCACGGCUAACUACGUGCCAGCAGCCGCGGUAAUACGUAGGUGGCAAGCGUUGUCCGGAUUUAUUGGGCGUAAAGCGAGCGCAGGCGGUUUCUUAAGUCUGAUGUGAAAGCCCCCGGCUCAACCGGGGAGGGUCAUUGGAAACUGGGAGACUUGAGUGCAGAAGAGGAGAGUGGAAUUCCAUGUGUAGCGGUGAAAUGCGUAGAUAUAUGGAGGAACACCAGUGGCGAAGGCGGCUCUCUGGUCUGUAACUGACGCUGAGGCUCGAAAGCGUGGGGAGCAAACAGGAUUAGAUACCCUGGUAGUCCACGCCGUAAACGAUGAGUGCUAAGUGUUGGAGGGUUUCCGCCCUUCAGUGCUGCAGCUAACGCAUUAAGCACUCCGCCUGGGGAGUACGACCGCAAGGUUGAAACUCAAAGGAAUUGACGGGGGCCCGCACAAGCGGUGGAGCAUGUGGUUUAAUUCGAAGCAACGCGAAGAACCUUACCAGGUCUUGACAUCCUUUGACCACUCUAGAGAUAGAGCUUCCCCUUCGGGGGCAAAGUGACAGGUGGUGCAUGGUUGUCGUCAGCUCGUGUCGUGAGAUGUUGGGUUAAGUCCCGCAACGAGCGCAACCCUUAUUGUUAGUUGCCAUCAUUUAGUUGGGCACUCUAGCAAGACUGCCGGUGACAAACCGGAGGAAGGUGGGGAUGACGUCAAAUCAUCAUGCCCCUUAUGACCUGGGCUACACACGUGCUACAAUGGGAAGUACAACGAGUCGCGAAGUCGCGAGGCUAAGCUAAUCUCUUAAAGCUUCUCUCAGUUCGGAUUGUAGGCUGCAACUCGCCUACAUGAAGCCGGAAUCGCUAGUAAUCGCGGAUCAGCACGCCGCGGUGAAUACGUUCCCGGGCCUUGUACACACCGCCCGUCACACCACGAGAGUUUGUAACACCCGAAGUCGGUGAGGUAACCUUUGAGCCAGCGCUA